This 1528-nucleotide ribosomal RNA is filed under the name Klebsiella quasipneumoniae subsp. quasipneumoniae. Its description in RNAcentral is "bacterial SSU rRNA". It matches the Rfam family "Bacterial small subunit ribosomal RNA". Lineage: Bacteria; Pseudomonadati; Pseudomonadota; Gammaproteobacteria; Enterobacterales; Enterobacteriaceae. The record is from RNAcentral.
AGAGUUUGAUCAUGGCUCAGAUUGAACGCUGGCGGCAGGCCUAACACAUGCAAGUCGAGCGGUAGCACAGAGAGCUUGCUCUCGGGUGACGAGCGGCGGACGGGUGAGUAAUGUCUGGGAAACUGCCUGAUGGAGGGGGAUAACUACUGGAAACGGUAGCUAAUACCGCAUAAUGUCGCAAGACCAAAGUGGGGGACCUUCGGGCCUCAUGCCAUCAGAUGUGCCCAGAUGGGAUUAGCUAGUAGGUGGGGUAACGGCUCACCUAGGCGACGAUCCCUAGCUGGUCUGAGAGGAUGACCAGCCACACUGGAACUGAGACACGGUCCAGACUCCUACGGGAGGCAGCAGUGGGGAAUAUUGCACAAUGGGCGCAAGCCUGAUGCAGCCAUGCCGCGUGUGUGAAGAAGGCCUUCGGGUUGUAAAGCACUUUCAGCGGGGAGGAAGGCGAUAAGGUUAAUAACCUUGUUGAUUGACGUUACCCGCAGAAGAAGCACCGGCUAACUCCGUGCCAGCAGCCGCGGUAAUACGGAGGGUGCAAGCGUUAAUCGGAAUUACUGGGCGUAAAGCGCACGCAGGCGGUCUGUCAAGUCGGAUGUGAAAUCCCCGGGCUCAACCUGGGAACUGCAUUCGAAACUGGCAGGCUAGAGUCUUGUAGAGGGGGGUAGAAUUCCAGGUGUAGCGGUGAAAUGCGUAGAGAUCUGGAGGAAUACCGGUGGCGAAGGCGGCCCCCUGGACAAAGACUGACGCUCAGGUGCGAAAGCGUGGGGAGCAAACAGGAUUAGAUACCCUGGUAGUCCACGCCGUAAACGAUGUCGAUUUGGAGGUUGUGCCCUUGAGGCGUGGCUUCCGGAGCUAACGCGUUAAAUCGACCGCCUGGGGAGUACGGCCGCAAGGUUAAAACUCAAAUGAAUUGACGGGGGCCCGCACAAGCGGUGGAGCAUGUGGUUUAAUUCGAUGCAACGCGAAGAACCUUACCUGGUCUUGACAUCCACAGAACUUAGCAGAGAUGCUUUGGUGCCUUCGGGAACUGUGAGACAGGUGCUGCAUGGCUGUCGUCAGCUCGUGUUGUGAAAUGUUGGGUUAAGUCCCGCAACGAGCGCAACCCUUAUCCUUUGUUGCCAGCGGUCCGGCCGGGAACUCAAAGGAGACUGCCAGUGAUAAACUGGAGGAAGGUGGGGAUGACGUCAAGUCAUCAUGGCCCUUACGACCAGGGCUACACACGUGCUACAAUGGCAUAUACAAAGAGAAGCGACCUCGCGAGAGCAAGCGGACCUCAUAAAGUAUGUCGUAGUCCGGAUUGGAGUCUGCAACUCGACUCCAUGAAGUCGGAAUCGCUAGUAAUCGUAGAUCAGAAUGCUACGGUGAAUACGUUCCCGGGCCUUGUACACACCGCCCGUCACACCAUGGGAGUGGGUUGCAAAAGAAGUAGGUAGCUUAACCUUCGGGAGGGCGCUUACCACUUUGUGAUUCAUGACUGGGGUGAAGUCGUAACAAGGUAACCGUAGGGGAACCUGCGGUUGGAUCACCU